UCUCCUACGGGAGGCAGCAGGCGCGAAAACUUUACAAUGCGGGAAACCGUGAUAAGGGAAUCUCGAGUGCCAGCAUAUAAUGUUGGCUGUCCAGAUGCCUAAAAAGCAUCUGUUAGCAAGGGCCGGGCAAGACCGGUGCCAGCCGCCGCGGUAACACCGGCGGCCCGAGUGGUAACCGUUAUUAUUGGGUCUAAAGGGUCUGUAGCCGGCCAAGUAAGUCCCUUGGGAAAUCUGGCAGCUCAACUGUCAGGCUGCUAGGGGAUACUGUUUGGCUUGGGACCGGGAGAGGUGAGAGGUACCUUGGGGGUAGGGGUGAAAUCUUGUGAUCCUCGGGGGACCACCAGUGGCGAAGGCGUCUCACCAGAACGGGUCCGACGGUAAGGGACGAAAGCUAGGGGCACGAACCGGAUUAGAUACCCGGGUAGUCCUAGCCGUAAACGAUGCUCGCUAGGUGUCAGUCACGGUGCUGCACCGUGA
This 477-nucleotide ribosomal RNA is filed under the name uncultured Methanosaeta sp. RNAcentral describes it as "bacterial SSU rRNA". It matches the Rfam family "Archaeal small subunit ribosomal RNA", at positions 319 to 795 of the family's 1478-position model. The record is from RNAcentral. Lineage: Archaea; Methanobacteriati; Methanobacteriota; Methanomicrobia; Methanotrichales; Methanotrichaceae.